Molecule: long non-coding RNA, 3911 nt
Organism: Gadus morhua (Atlantic cod)
Lineage: Eukaryota; Metazoa; Chordata; Actinopteri; Gadiformes; Gadidae
Source: Ensembl
CAAGUCCAUCCCAGCCCCCCCUCCUCCUCCCGCCCCCUGUCACCGGUCAAUGACGUCAUUCAUCAAAACCACUGACUGCUGGGCUUAGCGCCACUGAAAUGGGACCUGAUUGUUUGUUAAAGAUGAAGCCAAACGUGCUGCUGAUUUACAAGCUCCUCGAAUUGGAAAAUGGCCGAAAAACACUUGACCGAGGACUUCGCAGCUUCACUAACCGGGUGUGUUUAGAAAAUAUUUUUUUCAUAGAUAUGUCGUCUUGAUGAUUUGUGAAUGAAUCAAAUCAAAGCAACUUUUCAGCCAUGCGCCAACCCUGAAGACGAGCUGCCGGUUGAGUUAGCAUGUAUUAUCAGUGUGGUUGAUGAUGUGUGACUUUCCCACACAGGCCAAUGAAGAGGUUCAACGUUUCCUGAACGGGUCCCUUUCGACCUAUCAGUACGAUGAACUAUCGACGAUCUUGGACGCCAAGUGCCGAACUUUAAACAAUCUCCUCACUACAUUACAACACGCCACAAGUGGUAAGUGUCGUGACCUGCAUAUGCUUGUCUUACAUAAAUUAAAUUGGACUAGAUGAUGUUUUGUCUCCCAUAUAGGCUAGACCAAAAUACAUAUGUAUUUUCUUCUUAUACUGCAGAUCAACAAUUCUGUGCCGAGGCCCCUGCAGACAACGGAGACAUAACAAACCAGCUAUAUCUAUUUCCAGACAAAGUCGUUUUGACAACAGAUGUUCUUAAGUUUGGUCCCAUUUUAAGCAAUGUCCUUUUGGCGAGCUCCAUAACCAAGGCGAUCCAGGUGCUUGGAGCAACGCUCUCUUUUCAAUGUCUAAAGCAGCUCCUAGACCCUAAAGCUGUCAACGAUGACGUGUUCGAUAGCAUCCAGCCCAGCCAAAACACUGAUGCUGGACCUGCCGAUCACUCUUCUGAUUUUAAAAUUGAAGGCAAUGAGCUUGUUGUGUUCAAGGAGAAACCCCAAUUGAGGGUAGUGGUUGAACCUCCUCUAAUUAUCAUGUGUCAAAAGGGUUCCCUAGAGAUACUUCCAACAAAACCAGUGUCCCAGAAAACCAGCGAUCCUCAACCAACAAAUAUUCUUAUGAACGCACAGUUCCCCUUCUGGGAACUUGAACACGAAGUCCCGAUACAACACAAGAAACAAACAUCUGAACAGCUAUUGACCUUCCUGCGGACGCACAAGGAAAGUGCCAGCGCGAAGCGGGACAAUUUGGCCUGGUUCAGACGCUAUUUCCAUCCUCCGUCAACAACACCAUCAAAGAUAACAAAACAGAGUAGCUUUAAAGAUGGUGGAAGUAGAAGUAUGACCGACAACACCAGGUGCAUCGAAUCCCCGCCAAAGGAGACGGCGUUGGCUGAAGAGGACUCCCGACCUCCCGUGUUCAGGUUGAAGCGCGUGGAGCCUGGAGGAGUUAUUAUCUACUCCUGCAUGGUCCUCACCGAGACGGAACUGUGGGACAUGGGAGAAGUGGUCACACCACUCGGACCCGUUGAACAAGUGGAAACCCAGGACGGACAGCAAAACAAAGGGGUGGACAACAGUCACCGCGAGGUCUCUGCUGCUGAGGAACCGGGGGAGAAACCACAGAGUCCCCAGUGUACAAACACCACAUGUGGUUUUACCCCAGCCGAGUCGCCACUCCCGAACAGUACCGCCAGCAUCCCCGAGUUUGUGAUCGUUGCGUUCAAGGAGAUGGAGGUUGUGGUUUCCCAUGUGGUGUCCCCUGGACACUUCUACAUCCAGCGUCCAGACGUGUUGGCCAAGCAGCAGGCCCUGGUCAACGGCUGGAAAGGCCGCUCGUUUGCGGAGGAAAACAGCGUGCCAGACAUCGGGACCCUGGUAAUGGCUUUCUUCUCGGAGCAGAAGCAGUGGUGCAGGGCCCAAGUCCUGAGGAUAUGUGGCGUUGGUGGAGACGAUCAGCCCGGUGGGACCCACAUCAGCGUACAGGUGUUCCGGCUGGACCACGGAGACAAGGCCACCGUCUCCUUGCGCAACGUGGGCCCCCUGACACCGGACAUGGCGGCCCUGCCCCUGCAGGCCGCAAUGGUCUCGCUGGCCGAUGUGUCCGCGCUGGACGGGGUCCACUGGACGGAGGAGGCGGUGUCCUGGUUCAGAGCCAUGGUGGAGCACCGCACGCUGUACGCCCGGCUGUUCCCCCUCCGGUCGGCCGUCACCGUGCAUCUCUUCCUGGAGAGGGGCGCCAUGGGCGCCAUGAGGUAGCGUCCUGUGGCGGUUUGGACAGCCACUUUUGAGCAGCCGUAAAGCCUUGAAAAGAUGAAGUGUUCAAGUUCACCCAGGUCAAAGGUCGAUUGACUAUAGAGAGAUAUGAAGGAAUACGUGAAUUGCAUCGCGAUUUAAUGUUCAUCCUUUCUAAAAAAUUACUUAUUGAAGAUAUUGUUUUUUGAUUGGUUCUAAAAGUUAUUGCUAUUGCAGAAAGUUCAAAAUUAUACAUUUUGAAUCAAUAGUCAUCAGUAUUGCGGCAGUGUACAGAAAGCCCACCUAAAUAAUGUGGACAAAAGCAGUAGCUAACAAACAUACUUGUAUUUGAACCUUAAUAAAAAAAAUAGAUGUCGAAUAAUAUUAAUAUGAAAUAUUAAUAUGAUGGUAUUUUGUUUCAGGAGAGGAGCAUCGCUCUCUUUGAGGUUAGCGCAGAAUGGACAUGCGAAACUCAACCAAAUGAAAGCCUUUGCCGCAGUCAAAAGAGGUUAGUAGCAUCAAUGAUCCCAACCGCGGCUAGAUGGCAGUGGUGUGCCUGUAUCCCUUCUGCGCAUGCACACAGUAAGCACACGAUGAUCCUGAACGUUAUGUUUAUUUUCUGUUCUUAGGCAAUUUUCUCAUUCUGAAGAAAAGGCAGGAGGCUGACUGGCAGAAAUACCUAAUUGCAUGCUACACAGAAAAAGUUCUGAAAAAAACUUUGUUGGGAGUUGAAGGUUAGUUUUAGUUAUUUUUUGUUGGUGGUUGUUUUGUGUUUUUUAGUUGGUAUUCAACCCACAAUCUUUCUUUACUUUGUAAGGACUUUACAUUGUUAAUUUCUGCAAUUGCAUAGGUUUGGAGUGUUACUUCCAAAAAGUUUUUUUUCAUAGUGGAAGCAUAUAGAAUAUAUUGCCUUCCAACAGAAAGAUGGCCACUCAACUGGACGAAUAACAAAUGCCUGUAUAGUGAUAUGUAAUCAUUAUAAGCUUAAUAUUCCAAUACAAGUGUCUUUGUCAAAACUGCUCCAUCAUCACAUUUCUCUGCCAACAGUAAAUAUGUCACGUGUAUACUGGAUUAUUGUUCUGUACAUGUUUACACAAACACUGAUAUUUCAUUCAAAAAUGUCAAGGCCAACCGACGCCCCCCCUGUGCCAGUUUAUCCAAAGUGACGCAGAACGCUUGUUGCCCUGUGAGCUACUGCAGAUCAUCUGAUAGCGAACAACAAGCCCAUGCUUUGUAUGUCUGUGAUGCUUGGGCCUCUCUGCCGGUGCUGUAUUGCUGUGUUCACCGAUGUACGAUAUGAGCAUACGCAUCUAUACAAGACGACAGCUGCUGCCACCACUGUCAGAUCUUACUUGCGAUGACACCAUAACAAACAAUAACAUCUGUCCGACCAUGUGGCCUUGUAAAAGCUGCCCUGUUGUGAUGUAAAAAUUUGCAUAUUUCUCAAUAUUAAUCUAUUGGAUAAAUGUGUCAUAUCAGUCACCCGUACUACCGGCCUAAGUAUGCUUUAAAGAAAUUGUAAAGUGUGAAUUACAAAAUAAAAAGAACUCAAAAAAAAUGUUUUUAUCUUCACUGUCUAUCUUCCUAUCAUAAUAAUCCGACUUGUCGUCCAUCUUGAGGCAUAUUCACAAAAAGCCCUGAGCUGGCCCGUCUUCUCGCUCUUAUAACGGCGUCUCUGCAGAGGCACCCUUUACGUCUCGGCCCGGCCAAAC